RNAcentral lists this ribosomal RNA (253 nucleotides) under uncultured bacterium. Its description in RNAcentral is "partial 16S ribosomal RNA". It matches the Rfam family "Bacterial small subunit ribosomal RNA", at positions 524 to 776 of the family's 1533-position model. The record is from RNAcentral.
UACGAAGGGGGCUAGCGUUGCUCGGAAUCACUGGGCGUAAAGCGCACGUAGGCGGCUUCUCAAGUCAGGGGUGAAAUCCUGGAGCUCAACUCCAGAACUGCCUUCGAUACUGGCGACCUUGAGUCCGGGAGAGGUGAGUGGAACUCCGAGUGUAGAGGUGAAAUUCGUAGAUAUUCGGAAGAACACCAGUGGCGAAGGCGGCUCACUGGCCCGGUACUGACGCUGAGGUGCGAAAGCGUGGGGAGCAAACAGG